UCAGGAUGAACGCUGGCGGCGUGCUUAACACAUGCAAGUCGAACGAUGAUGGNNRCUUGNUCNUGGAUUAGUGGCGAACGGGUGAGUAACACGUGAGUAACCUGCCCUUGACUCUGGGAUAAGCCUGGGAAACUGGGUCUAAUACCGGAUAUGACCUUCCAUCGCAUGGUGGUUGGUGGAAAGCUUUUGUGGUUUUGGAUGGACUCGCGGCCUAUCAGCUUGUUGGUGGGGUAAUGGCCUACCAAGGCGACGACGGGUAGCCGGCCUGAGAGGGUGACCGGCCACACUGGGACUGAGACACGGCCCAGACUCCUACGGGAGGCAGCAGUGGGGAAUAUUGCACAAUGGGCGCAAGCCUGAUGCAGCGACGCCGCGUGAGGGAUGACGGCCUUCGGGUUGUAAACCUCUUUCAGUAGGGAAGAAGCGUAAGUGACGGUACCUGCAGAAGAGC
RNAcentral lists this ribosomal RNA (451 nucleotides) under soil bacterium 12G-16. RNAcentral describes it as "bacterial SSU rRNA". It matches the Rfam family "Bacterial small subunit ribosomal RNA", at positions 24 to 490 of the family's 1533-position model. The record is from RNAcentral.